AGUUAUACAGUUAAGUGCUUA
This 21-nucleotide non-coding RNA is filed under the name Rattus norvegicus (Norway rat). The record is from RNAcentral. Lineage: Eukaryota; Metazoa; Chordata; Mammalia; Rodentia; Muridae.